Molecule: long non-coding RNA, 2113 nt
Organism: Peromyscus californicus insignis
Lineage: Eukaryota; Metazoa; Chordata; Mammalia; Rodentia; Cricetidae
Exons: 4
Source: RefSeq, a predicted model, not a curated record
AGGUCCCAGACUCCUCCCCCUUCCCCUCACCCUCCUCCAUGCACAUGUCUUCCACAGGCCUGAUCACAUUCUCUUCUGUCCCCUCCUUCUCCUAAUAAAACUCUUAUAGUGGGUUUUCUCUUACCUUGUGGCUUUUCUCGAAAGGGAUAUUGUGCCGCUGAAUAAAAUCAACAUUGAUGCGGAGACGAAGCAGGCUCUCCUAGCGCUCUGCGCCCGGAACCUGUGCCAAGGUUUUGCUCCGUCUAUGACUGCCUGCUUUUUUCAUUUGCCAGGCUGCCGGACCACUCCGCACAAUAUUGGCUGCUCAGAUUGGACAGCAGGCAGUUGAGGCUGUCCAUGUCUGCAGACUCUAUGUAGUUCUUCAUCAUCAGCAUCAUCUGGUGGGCUCUCGCUAUCCCGAAGUGAACUUUGGUUUCAUCCAUCAGCUCCGUUUUCAUGAGCUCCACUGUGGUACGGAAAGCUUGCUGGAAGUACUCGGAAGCCUUGCUGUACUGCCCCUAGUGAGCAAGAGAGAACACUUUUUUAUUUCUUACCUCACCCAUUUCACAGAUUUGCUCAUCUCACCUCGGCACACCCAUUUUUGAAGAGAAAGAGCUGGCAAGCUGGCUUUUCAUCAGAAGGCUGUCUUCGGCGAGCAGUGGUCACUUGAUGGUCAGAAUCUUGAAAUUAAUUUGGUUAGAAAGCUACAUCUGUGGCUGAAACACAUGAAGUGCACAGCAGCAGGAGGAAGCUGGGGGAAAGUGAGCUGGUUGCCACGAUUUCAGCACAAUGUUACUAAUUAUGGCAUUGUAUGUGUCCAGUGAAAUGUAUUCAGCUGUCUCUUGUUUUUAUUUGUAGCAGGAGGGCAUUGAAUGCCAUGUCAGUGGUGACAGCUGACACGGGCAGCUCUCUGCUGAUGCGGGCCACUGCCUCUCUCCUGACGGACCUGCACCGCUUGGCUAAGAUCAUGGGAGAAUCGAGAUUUAAAACAUGACUGUAAUGUGGCUAGAACAAGAGAAGGUGGGAGGGGUUGAGGAGGGCAUAUGACUUCAGCCCCUGGCCUCUACAUGCGUGUGUACCCACACAGCUGUGCCCGCUACAUGUGAACACUCAUACACACACAGAGAAAAAUAGAUAGAGAUAUUUAAAACAUGGUUGAACACUCCUUUCAAAAGAAACUUUCACAGGAGAGUUUUUUUUUUUUUUUUGCAGUAAAAUUUUAAUCCCUAUUCCCAUACUUUGUGAAAGAAUGGGCAUUCAAACCCCAUGGAUACAUCUUCAGGCCACACACCAGCGCAGAGGGGAUGAGCCUCAAUCCACAGCCCUCUGUGCAGUGGGGCAGGCAGAUGAGCGGUCACACUGAUUGACAGCGGGAUGUGAUGAGCGGUCACACUGAUUGACAGCGGGAUGUGAUGAGCGGUCACACUGAUUGACAGCGGGAUGUGAUGAGUGGUCACACUGAUUGACAGCGGGAUGUGAUGAGCGGUCACACUGAUUGACAGCGGGAUGUGAUGAGCGGUUACUCUCAUAUGCAUCACGUGUAACACUAUCCAAUAAGCAAAGUCAAAAUAAAUGAGUGUUUUCUAAAGUUUUCUGCAGGAAAUCACAACCAGGCCUAACAUCAAAUUUGAAGUCUCCAAAAAGAUGAUGGGGCCCCACAACAAUGAUUCCACAUGGACAAUAAUAAUACCACAUCACCCAUGGAUCAGCUUUGGACUACAAACUGCUCAGAACAAUUUCGAAUUGGCUAGCUGAGAUGAUCCAGUUUCACAGACUACUUGAACAAGGACUUGAGAUAAGCCCUGAACUUUGGCAUUAUGCAGAGACUGGACAACAAAUGAUAUAGCCACCUUUCCUAGAACUUGACAAUUAACCCCCAAUUUUUCUUUUCAGAAUAAAGAUGCCUUUGCCCACAACCAGCAGGAAGCAAUUUUAAGAACACAAUGCCCACAUUCCCAAAGAGAUAGUGUGGGCAGGUGGUUUUUGGUCUUUCAAUGAGGUUUGGAUUUGGGAUAAUUUUCAUUGUUUAGGAGGGUUGGUUACAAGUUGUUGUUAAUGGUUAGGAAAAGGGCUAAGCAAAGGAGAUUAGAUUUAAGGUUCUCGUAAAAAAAAAAAAAAAGAUGUAUAGAAAUGA